RNAcentral lists this long non-coding RNA (495 nucleotides) under Setaria italica (foxtail millet). Its description in RNAcentral is "long non-coding RNA (SITA_LNC000231)". The record is from RNAcentral. Lineage: Eukaryota; Viridiplantae; Streptophyta; Magnoliopsida; Poales; Poaceae.
GGGAUUUUAGCAUGAUUAUCAUGUAAAAGAGAAGAUACUCACACUGAUAGACAAUUGGCAAGAAGUUUUUGGUGGUGCACGUGCAAGAUAUCCUCAAUACUUUGCAGCAUACCAGGAGCUCUUGGUAUUAUUCUAUACACAUCAAACAUAUUGUCAUAUUUUAUUCAUAUCUCAUUGUUAGAAACUCAUUUUCCCAAUGACCAUUGUCUACAAUGUUUCGAUAAGUCAGUUGCAGAUUAAGUGACAUUUCAUUAAGCAUUCAAUUUUCACAAUCAUUAAGCAUGAAAGAACAUGGUUAUGUUCCCUAAUAAACAUUCAGUGUUGAAUGUGAAUCUUUUGUAUAACUGAUUGAAUAAUGUUUCUCCAACCUACAUAUGCUAGCGCACUGGAGCUGUAUUUCCUCAAAGAUCAAAUGGUUCUGUGCCCAUCAUUACUCCUCCUCAGACUCAGCCUCUACAAAACUAUCCCCCUCCUUUAAGCAUUUCUCAGCAGGAG